This 849-nucleotide ribosomal RNA is filed under the name Apiospora arundinis. Its description in RNAcentral is "eukaryotic LSU rRNA". It matches the Rfam family "Eukaryotic large subunit ribosomal RNA", at positions 66 to 943 of the family's 3401-position model. Lineage: Eukaryota; Fungi; Ascomycota; Sordariomycetes; Amphisphaeriales; Apiosporaceae. The record is from RNAcentral.
CAACAGGGAUUCCCCUAGUAACGGCGAGUGAAGCGGGAACAGCUCAAAUUUGAAAUCUGGCCCUUGGGUCCGAGUUGUAAUUUGCAGAGGAUGCUUUUGGUGCGGUGCCUUCCGAGUUCCCUGGAACGGGACGCCUUAGAGGGUGAGAGCCCCGUACGGUUGGCCACCAAGCCUGUGUAAAGCUCCUUCGACGAGUCGAGUAGUUUGGGAAUGCUGCUCAAAAUGGGAGGUAUAUUUCUUCUAAAGCUAAAUACUGGCCAGAGACCGAUAGCGCACAAGUAGAGUGAUCGAAAGAUGAAAAGCACUUUGAAAAGAGGGUUAAAUAGCACGUGAAAUUGUUGAAAGGGAAGGAUUUAUGACCAGACUUUUUCUGGGGGGAUCAUCCGGUGUUCUCACCGGUGCACUUCCCCCAGUUGAGGCCAGCAUCGGUUUCUGCCGGGGGAUAAAAGCUUUGGGAAUGUGGCUCCUUCGGGAGUGUUAUAGCCCGUUGCAUAAUACCCUGGCGGGGACCGAGGUUCGCGCAUUGCAAGGAUGCUGGCGUAAUGGUUAUUAAUCACCCGUCUUGAAACACGGACCAAGGAGUCGAACAUUUGUGCGAGUGUUUGGGUGUUAAACCCUCACGCGUAAUGAAAGUGAACGGAGGUGAGAGCCUUUAGGGGUGCAUCAUCGACCGAUCCUGAUGUCUUCGGAUGGAUUUGAGUAAGAGCAUAACUGUUCGGACCCGAAAGAUGGUGAACUAUGCGUGGAUAGGGUGAAGCCAGAGGAAACUCUGGUGGAGGCUCGCAGCGGUUCUGACGUGCAAAUCGAUCGUCAAAUCUGCGCAUGGGGGCGAAAGACUAAUCGAACCAU